GGGCGUGUAGCUCAGUUGGUUAGAGCAUCUCGUUUACACCGAGAGGGUCCGCGGUUCGAAUCCGUGCACGCCCACCA
RNAcentral lists this transfer RNA (77 nucleotides) under Spirochaeta sp. Its description in RNAcentral is "tRNA-Val". It matches the Rfam family "tRNA". Rfam says of the family: Transfer RNA (tRNA) molecules are approximately 80 nucleotides in length. Their secondary structure includes four short double-helical elements and three loops (D, anti-codon, and T loops). Further hydrogen bonds mediate the characteristic L-shaped molecular structure. tRNAs have two regions of fundamental functional importance: the anti-codon, which is responsible for specific mRNA codon recognition, and the 3' end, to which the tRNAs corresponding amino acid is attached (by aminoacyl-tRNA synthetases). tRNAs cope with the degeneracy of the genetic code in two manners: having more than one tRNA (with a specific anti-codon) for a particular amino acid; and 'wobble' base-pairing, i.e. permitting non-standard base-pairing at the 3rd anti-codon position. RNAcentral also lists the same sequence under 3 other names. The record is from RNAcentral. Lineage: Bacteria; Pseudomonadati; Spirochaetota; Spirochaetia; Spirochaetales; Spirochaetaceae.